This 254-nucleotide ribosomal RNA is filed under the name uncultured bacterium. RNAcentral's name for it is "partial 16S ribosomal RNA". It matches the Rfam family "Bacterial small subunit ribosomal RNA", at positions 524 to 776 of the family's 1533-position model. The record is from RNAcentral.
UACGGGGGGGGGCAAGCGUUGUUCGGAAUUACUGGGCGUAAAGGGCGCGUAGGCGGUUUGUUAAGUUGGAUGUGAAAACUCUGGGCUUAACCCAGAGCCUGCAUCCAAAACUAGCAGGCUAGAGUUCUGGAGGGGAUAGCGGAAUUCCUGGUGUAGCGGUGAAAUGCGUAGAUAUCAGGAGGAACACCAAUGGCGAAGGCAGCUCACUGGGACGAUACUGACGCUGAGACGCGAAAGCGUGGGGAGCAAACAGG